CAGCGUGAGCUCCUCCUUCCCUAGUUCCGUGAGUUAGUCGUCGAGAUGGUUGGUUCGCCGCCGCCGCUCUCUCUUUCUCUGUUACCCAACUCCGGCGCCACCGGCUGCUCGCCCCAUCCAGAAAGCGUAAAGUCCUGACGUAGAUUGACCACCUCCGCCAUCCCCUUCCCCAAUACUGUCUUAGCGGCGGCGGCCUUGGGCCUUCCUCCGUGUGGAUCGAAGAUCGAUGGCGCCAUCCUCUCCUCGCCGCUCGCCUAGGCGGUCAAGCCCAGCAUGCGGUUCCCGGAGCGGUUCCUGGACGUCGUAGCGGCGCGCCGCUCGUGUCGAUUCGGCGAUGGUGCAGGCGGUGGUAGGAGGCCGACAAAAUGGUUCAUCGAGGUCAAAUGGAAGGAGUCGAUGAGAGGCGUCGCCGGCGCGUGUUUCGUGGUCGCCGGCGCUUCCGCUUCUCCUCGGAUUGCCAGCUACAGUGAUUUGUGCUUAAUAAGUGAAGUUAAGUAUAUUUGGAAUUAGUGCCCUUGUUGUUACCACCUGCUUUCCAAUAUGCAGCCUCUGGUGGAUUCAAAUAAAUUGCUUGCUGAGACAAUUUGUAAAGUUGCAGUACAAUGUCAGUUAAGUAUAUUUGGAAUUAGUGCCCUCGUUGUUACAACCUGCUUUCCAAUAUGCAUCCUCUGGUGGAUUCAAAUAAAUUGCUUGCUGAGACAAUUUGUAAAGUUGCAGUACAAUGUCUGUAUAACAAGAGUGGUUGCCAGUGGCAACGAAAUCUGUCUGAAUCCAUCACACGUGGUACUGCUUCCACCUAUGGGAACUCCCCUGUUGUUUGCAACCACUGUGGUACUUAGAUUGUACAUCGUCAAGUGCAAGACCAUGAUCAGCUUUGCCCUUUAGCAGAGCUACCAAGUGGACAAUUGCGAGGUGCUCCAUAUCAUGGUGAGGCAGCAACGAGCUGCGGGGAGGCCGGUGACGAUCGUCUGGAGGGCGACAAUGCGCUGCGGGGAGACCGGUGAUGAGCUGCGCGAGGUCGGCGACGUGCUGCGGGGUGGCCACCGACGAUCUGCUGGAGGAGGCACCACAUCCUGGUCUUAUAUGAUAGUGAGUAUCUGCCGGUGGAGCCGUGGUGCGCGUGGUACACCGGGAAGGAUGGAGUUCCACACCAAGCUGAGAAUCGAGGGUCUUCCAGAGGAGGCAUGAUUGGAAUUUGCUAUGAUUCUCUCCAAUGUUUACUUCAUUUUAUAAUGUUUCGGACUAGCUAUUUUUUUUAUCAAGUUUGGUACUACUAGUGUUUAUUUCAAUUUGUCAAUUCUGUUUGAUUGAGAAAUCUUGUAGCCAAGUUAGUUAUCUUGUUUGAUUCAGAAUACUCUUUAUCUUACUUUUAAAAUAGUUCAGUUGCACAGUGAAACUCGCCA
Long non-coding RNA from Lolium perenne, 1403 nucleotides. RefSeq lists it as uncharacterized. NCBI's taxonomy places the organism in Eukaryota, Viridiplantae, Streptophyta, Magnoliopsida, Poales, Poaceae. The record is from RefSeq and is a predicted model, not a curated record.